GAUGAACGCUGGCGGCGUGCCUAAUACAUGCAAGUCGAGCGAAUGGAUUAAGAGCUUGCUCUUAUGAAGUUAGCGGCGGACGGGUGAGUAACACGUGGGUAACCUGCCCAUAAGACUGGGAUAACUCCGGGAAACCGGGGCUAAUACCGGAUAACAUUUUGAACCGCAUGGUUCGAAAUUGAAAGGCAGCUUCGGCUGUCACUUAUGGAUGGACCCGCGUCGCAUUAGCUAGUUGGUGAGGUAACGGCUCACCAAGGCAACGAUGCGUAGCCGACAUGAGAGGGUAAUCGGCCACGCUGGGACUGAGACACGGCCCAGACUCCUACGGGAGGCAGCAGUAGGGAAUCUUCCGCAAUGGACGAAAGUCUGACGGAGCAACGCCGCGUGAGUGAUGAAGGCUUUCGGGUCGUAAAACUCUGUUGUUAGGGAAGAACAAGUGCUAGUUGAAUAAGCUGGCACCUUGACGGUACCUAACCAGAAAGCCACGGCUAACUACGUGCCAGCCGCCGCCGUAA
This 515-nucleotide ribosomal RNA is filed under the name uncultured bacterium. Its description in RNAcentral is "partial 16S ribosomal RNA". It matches the Rfam family "Bacterial small subunit ribosomal RNA", at positions 28 to 523 of the family's 1533-position model. The record is from RNAcentral.